This 299-nucleotide ribosomal RNA is filed under the name uncultured Hydrogenivirga sp. RNAcentral's name for it is "partial 16S ribosomal RNA". The stretch from base 51 to 299 matches the Rfam family "Bacterial small subunit ribosomal RNA", at positions 547 to 795 of the family's 1533-position model. Lineage: Bacteria; Pseudomonadati; Aquificota; Aquificia; Aquificales; Aquificaceae. The record is from RNAcentral.
AAAGAUAGAGGAGAGCGGCGAGGGUAAAACGAAGGGGGGUAGGGGUGCGCGGUGUCAUUGGGCGGAAAGGGGGUGUGGGCGGGCAGGGAAUUCCGCUGCGAAAGUCGGGGGCUCAGCCCUCGAAGGCCGGUGGAUAUUGUCAGGCGAGAGGGCGGAAGAGGCGGGUGGAAUUCCAGGUGUAGCGGUGAAAAGCGCAGAUAUCAGGAGGAACACCAAUUGCGAAGGCAGCUCGCUGGGACGUAACUGACGCUGAGACGCGAAAGCGUGGGGAGCAAACAGGAUUAGAUACCCCGUUAGUC